GAUGAACGCUGGCGGCGUGCCUAAUACAUGCAAGUCGAGCGCGAGAAUGAGGAGCUUGCUCCUCAUAAUCGAGCGGCGGACGGGUGAGUAACACGUAGGCAACCUACCCUUGAGAUUGGGAUAACUACCGGAAACGGUAGCUAAUACCGGAUACGACUUUUCCACACAAGUGGAAUUGUUAAAAGGCGGAUUUAUCUGCCGCUCAUGGAUGGGCCUGCGGUGCAUUAGCUAGUUGGUGAGGUAGUGGCUCACCAAGGCGACGAUGCAUAGCCGACCUGAGAGGGUGAUCGGCCACACUGGGACUGAGACACGGCCCAGACUCCUACGGGGGGCAGCAGUAGGGAAUCUUCCGCAAUGGACGCAAGUCUGACGGAGCAACGCCGCGUGAGUGAUGAAGGGUUUCGGCUCGUAAAACUCUGUUGUUAAGGAAGAACAAAUUUGUUAGUAACUGAACAAGUCUUGACGGUACCUAACCAGAAAGCCACGGCUAACUACGUGCCAGCCGCCGCCGUAA
This 514-nucleotide ribosomal RNA is filed under the name uncultured bacterium. RNAcentral describes it as "partial 16S ribosomal RNA". It matches the Rfam family "Bacterial small subunit ribosomal RNA", at positions 28 to 523 of the family's 1533-position model. The record is from RNAcentral.